Molecule: long non-coding RNA, 794 nt
Organism: Hemicordylus capensis (graceful crag lizard)
Lineage: Eukaryota; Metazoa; Chordata; Lepidosauria; Squamata; Cordylidae
Exons: 3
Source: RefSeq, a predicted model, not a curated record
CUUGAAACAAGAUGGCAGCCAAAGCAGAAGCGCCACCAGCCCUUUUAGAACUCGUGUGUUUACAGUCCGAUACAAACCAAGCUGACAGCAUUAAGCAGCACGAGACGCCUCUUCCCUGCUUCUAAUUAAGGAGCAGAAGACUCUAGGGCCCAUGCUGCCACUUGGUUUCAGACCGCCGGGCUUCCCAGGAGAAUCUCCGAGUGGCCCACUUUAAAUACCCGAUAAACAGGAGAACAUCCCCCUCCUACGCUUCUGCUAGAGGCCCAUCUCCAAAUCCCCAGCGCUGCCAAUUAACAGCCGGGCUGGAAAUCCAAGAGAACAACCUUGAUGUGACCCACCAGCACGGAGGCGGCACUCGGCAGCAUGCAAAAGGCAGAACGCACAUACACACACACACAUACAAACAAGACUGAGAACAUUAAGAGAAUGCCGCCUUCUUCACCAACCCCACGACCUGUCAAGAUCAUCUGGGGAGGUCCGGCUGCAGUUGCUACCAGCUCGAUUGAUGGCAACACGAAUCCGGGCCUUUUCUCGAGUCGCCCCAGGACUCUGGAACGCACUUCCUAACGAAAUUAGAGCUUCUCCUUCUCUGAAUGUUUUAAAGAAGGACCUUAAAACAUACCUGUUUAGCGGGCGUUUAGUUUAUUGUUUUAAAGCUUUGGUUUUUAGAGUUUUUAUUGUAUUUUACAUGGCUUUAAUUAGGUUAGUGUUUUAAUGGUUUUUAUAUUGUGAACCGCCCAGGGACCUUUUUUGUAUCAGGCGGUAUACAGAUGUACUAAAUAAAUCAACAAUAA